RNAcentral lists this ribosomal RNA (200 nucleotides) under uncultured bacterium. RNAcentral's name for it is "partial 16S ribosomal RNA". It matches the Rfam family "Bacterial small subunit ribosomal RNA", at positions 8 to 217 of the family's 1533-position model. The record is from RNAcentral.
AGAGUUUGAUCCUGGCUCAGGAUGAACGCUGGCGGCGUGCCUAACACAUGCAAGUCGAGCGAUUCUCUUCGGAGAAGAGCGGCGGACGGGUGAGUAACGCGUGGGUAACCUGCCCUGUACACACGGAUAACAUACCGAAAGGUAUGCUAAUACGGGAUAAUAUGAGAGAGUCACAUGGCUUUCUUAUCAAAGCUCCGGCG